Danio rerio (zebrafish) is the source of this 264-nucleotide non-coding RNA. The record is from RefSeq and is a predicted model, not a curated record. Lineage: Eukaryota; Metazoa; Chordata; Actinopteri; Cypriniformes; Danionidae.
CUCCGGUUUCCUCGACAAGUCCAAAGACAUGCGGUACAGAUGAAUUGGUGGGAUGAUGAUGAUGCUCCAUACCCAACUCUACAGAUGGCUGAAAGUCCGUUUUAGAGGCAUUAUUACAUCCUUCGCUGUUUACUGUGUUUUCAACUUGGCUUAUCCAUGCUACAUAAAGAAUGCAAAGGAUGAACAUCAGCAACUCCCCAAGAUGGAACAACAAUUUAAAUUUGAACAUCAGCAACGGUGUGAAGAUGGAGAUCCAAAAUUUAC